AGUGAACGCUGGCGGUAGGCCUAACACAUGCAAGUCGAACGGCAGCACAGUAAGAGCUUGCUCUUACGGGUGGCGAGUGGCGGACGGGUGAGGAAUACAUCGGAAUCUACUUUUUCGUGGGGGAUAACGUAGGGAAACUUACGCUAAUACCGCAUACGACCUACGGGUGAAAGCAGGGGAUCUUCGGACCUUGCGCGAUUGAAUGAGCCGAUGUCGGAUUAGCCAGUUGGCGGGGUAAAGGCCCACCAAGGCGACGAUCCGUAGCUGGUCUGAGAGGAUGAUCAGCCACACUGGAACUGAGACACGGUCCAGACUCCUACGGGAGGCAGCAGUGGGGAAUAUUGGACAAUGGCGCAAGCCUGAUCCAGCCAUACCGCGUGGGUGAAGAAGGCCUUCGGGUUGUAAAGCCCUUUUGUUGGGAAAGAAAAGCAGCAGGUUAAUACCCCGCUGUUCUGACGGUACCCAAAGAAUAAGCACCGGCUAACUUCGUG
Molecule: ribosomal RNA, 491 nt
Filed under: uncultured bacterium
Lineage: Bacteria
Description: partial 16S ribosomal RNA
Rfam family: Bacterial small subunit ribosomal RNA
Source: RNAcentral